GCCCCGGCUAACUACGUGCCAGCAGCCGCGGUAAUACGUAGGGGGCGAGCGUUGUCCGGAAUGAUUGGGUGUAAAGGGUACGCAGGCGGUCUAUUAAGUUUGGCGUGAAAGCCCGGGGCUUAGCUCCGGUAAGCGUUGAAAACUGGUAGACUUGAAUAGUGGAAGAGAUAGUGGAAUUCCUAGUGUAGCGGUGAAAUGCGUAGAGAUUAGGAAGAAUACCAAUGGCGAAAGCAACUAUCUGGACACAUAUUGACGCUGAGGUACGAAAGCGUGGGGAGCAAACAGGAUUAGAUACCCUGGUAGUCCACGCAGUAAACGAUGAAUACUUGAUGUAGGAGGUAUCGACCCCUUCUGUGUCGAAGUUAACGUAUUAAGUAUUCCACCUGGGGAGUACGACCGCA
This 401-nucleotide ribosomal RNA is filed under the name uncultured bacterium. RNAcentral describes it as "bacterial SSU rRNA". It matches the Rfam family "Bacterial small subunit ribosomal RNA", at positions 490 to 890 of the family's 1533-position model. The record is from RNAcentral.